This 391-nucleotide unclassified non-coding RNA is filed under the name plant metagenome. RNAcentral's name for it is "partial contains 5.8S ribosomal RNA, internal transcribed spacer 2, and large subunit ribosomal RNA". The record is from RNAcentral.
CAGAUCCUCGAGCACGUGUGGCAGUUCGACUUCGGCGGCGACGGCAGCGUGGUGGAGACGUACAUGUCGACGCUGCGGCGCAAGGUCGACCGCCGUGAGCCGAAGCUGAUCCGCACCGUGCGCGGCUUCGGGUACGUCAUCCGCGACGAGGUGCGGGCAUGAGGUUGCAUCGCUUCAAGAGCCGCCAGCGGAUCAUCAUCCGCCUCGCUCUCGGUCUCGUCCUCGUGAUGUGCAUCGGGUCGUGGCUGACGAUGGAGUGGGUCAAGCGCGAGCUGCGCCAGGACAUCGACGAUCAGCUGCGCGCGAUGGCGCCCAACGCGGCCGAGUUCCUCGACGCGGUGAGCUUCGAGCUCGUCCAGGACUACGCCGCGCUGUUCGAGGACGGCGGGUG